Molecule: ribosomal RNA, 530 nt
Filed under: Colletotrichum sp. Pass-35
Lineage: Eukaryota; Fungi; Ascomycota; Sordariomycetes; Glomerellales; Glomerellaceae
Description: eukaryotic LSU rRNA
Rfam family: 5.8S ribosomal RNA (bases 178-331)
Source: RNAcentral
AGGGAUCAUUACUGAGUUUACACUCUAUAACCCUUUAUAAAUGUACCUUUAACUGUUACUUUAGCGGGUAGUGGCCUUACGGCCGCCCUUAGUCCUACUUACGCGGGGCGCCCGCUAGAGGUCUACUAAACUCUAAUUUAACGACGUUUCUUUUAAGUGACAUAAGUAAAUAAUUAAAACUUUUAAUAAUAGAUCUCUUAGUUUUAGUAUUAAUAAAGAAUACAGUAAAAUAUAAUAAGUAAUAUAAAUUACAAAAUUUAGUGAAUUAUCGAAUCUUUAAACGUACAUUGCGCCUACUAGUAUUCUAGUGGGUAUGCCUAUUUGAGCGUCAUUUUAACCCUUAAGUACUACUUAGUUUUAGGGCCUUACGGCUAACGUAGGCCCUUAAAGGUAGUAGUAGACCCUCCCGGAGCCUCCUUUACGUAGUAACUUAACGUCUCACACUAGGAUUUAGAGGGAAUCUUACUGUAAAACCCCCUAAUUUUUAUAAGGUUGACUUUAGAUUAGGUAGGAAUACCCGCUAAACUUAA